ACCAAAUCCCCCAUCAUUACCUGUGCCUUGUACAAGAGAGCCCGGCAGCCAUAGCCAUGGGAGGAAGCAAGAGGGGUCUGGGGAGUGCGAUCGUGUGUUUACUCGUGCAGGGGCUGGUCCUGAAGCAGGUGCAACAUGUAGAGGGCGUGGAUUGCGGCGGGAGCAUCUUCUAAGUGGCCUGCUACCAUUCUUGCCUUCUGGGUCCUAGUACAGUGUUUCAGUGCACAGACUUCUGUGGCUGUCACCUCCCCGCUGACUUGGCCUUUGUACGCAGCUCCGAUGAACUAAACACCAUUGAGUAUUGCAGCUUAGAAUGUAGGUCUUCCGUGUGUGACAACAUGGUCAUGGUCAACAUAGCUACCAACAGUGAAGAGAUGAAACUCUAUGUGAAACUCUGCGGUGAUGCUUGUGAUAGUUUAUGUAAGGGGGAUGCUCUACUGGCAUCCCUUGAUCUUGAUGACUAAUAAUGCAUAUGCAUGGUCUGAAAUUUCACAGGCCAAAGUUAUGUCUCGCCUUCGUGUUCAAUAAAACUGGAUCCCAUUGAGAGUAUCCAAACCAGUGUGUUAGUUUGUUCAUGUGCUUGUGUCUAUUUUCUUUCGUUGCUACAAUAAAAGAUAUCAUGAUGAAUGCCAUCUUGCUGCCUGCUUGAGAUAUAAUA
This is a long non-coding RNA of Triticum aestivum (bread wheat), 658 nucleotides long. RefSeq lists it as uncharacterized. The record is from RefSeq and is a predicted model, not a curated record. NCBI's taxonomy places the organism in Eukaryota, Viridiplantae, Streptophyta, Magnoliopsida, Poales, Poaceae. The transcript is spliced from 3 exons.